This 389-nucleotide ribosomal RNA is filed under the name uncultured bacterium. RNAcentral describes it as "bacterial SSU rRNA". It matches the Rfam family "Bacterial small subunit ribosomal RNA", at positions 30 to 420 of the family's 1533-position model. The record is from RNAcentral.
AUUGAACGCUGGCGGAAUGCUUUACACAUGCAAGUCGAACGGUAGAGGGGGCAACCCCUUGAGAGUGGCGAACGGGUGAGUAAUAUAUCGGAACGUGCCCAGUCGUGGGGAUAACGUAGCGAAAGUUACGCUAAUACCGCAUACGAUCUAAGGAUGAAAGCGGGGGACUCGCAAGAGCCUCGCGCGAUUGGAGCGGCCGAUAUCAGAUUAGGUAGUUGGUGAGGGUAAAAGGCUCACCAAGCCGACGAUCUGUAGCUGGUCUGAGAGGACGACCAGCCACACUGGGACUGAGACACGGCCCAGACUCCUACGGGAGGCAGCAGUGGGGAAUUUUGGACAAUGGGCGCAAGCCUGAUCCAGCAAUGCCGCGUGCAGGAUGAAGGCCUGGU